RNAcentral lists this ribosomal RNA (406 nucleotides) under uncultured bacterium. Its description in RNAcentral is "partial 16S ribosomal RNA". It matches the Rfam family "Bacterial small subunit ribosomal RNA", at positions 28 to 526 of the family's 1533-position model. The record is from RNAcentral.
GAUGAACGCUAGCUACAGGCUUAACACAUGCCAGUCGAGGGACGGGCGCACGGGUGAGUGACAAGUAUCUAACCUACCCUUUACUCGGGGAUAGCCUUUCGAAAGAAAGAUUAAUACCCGAUAUAAGGGAUGGGGAUGCGUUCCAUUAGGUUGGUGGUGAGGUACCGGCUGACCAAGCCUUCGAUGGCUAGGGGUUCGGAGAGGAAGGUCCCCCACAUUGGAACUGAGACCCGGUCCAAACUCCUACGGGAGGCAGCAGUGAGUAAUAGUUGUCAAUGGGCGGUAGCCUGAACCAGCCCAGUAGCGGGAAGGAUGAAGGCUUAUGGGUCGCAAAUUUCUUUUAUAUACGAAUAUGUAUUAUAUGAAUAAGGAUCGGCUAACUCCGUGCCAGCAGCCGCGGUAAUUC